Molecule: non-coding RNA, 30 nt
Filed under: Mus musculus (house mouse)
Lineage: Eukaryota; Metazoa; Chordata; Mammalia; Rodentia; Muridae
Source: RNAcentral
UCAGGCCUGUGAUUGGAUGAAGCCUUGUUC